This 311-nucleotide ribosomal RNA is filed under the name uncultured eukaryote. Its description in RNAcentral is "partial 18S ribosomal RNA". It matches the Rfam family "Eukaryotic small subunit ribosomal RNA", at positions 1470 to 1796 of the family's 1831-position model. The record is from RNAcentral.
CCCCUAGACGUUCUGGGCUGCACGCGCGCUACAAUAAUACGCACAGCGAGUAUCACCGAGCUCGAAAGGGCAAGGUAAACAAUAGAAAAGGUACUGUAAUGGUUAUAGAUCCUUGUAAUUAUUGAUCUUCAACGAGGAAUUCCUAGUAAGUAUGUGUCAUCAUCACGCACUGAUUACGUCCCUGCCCUUUGUACACACCGCCCGUCGCUCCUACCGAUUGAGUGAGCCGAUGAAACUGCCGGAUGUGGACUAUUCAUAGUCUGCAGAAGAUAUUUGAAUCGUAACGCUUAGAGGAAGGAGAAGUCGUAACA